AAUUACAUCAGACAGCAUAAAUGACACGCGAGAAACACUGUUGUCAUCUAAAAAGGUUAAGCUAACAGGGCUUGAGAGUGAUAUAACUUGAUUUAUGUUUUACGUUUUGAUGGAAUUUAAUUUUCACUCCUUCCAUCUUUAAAACCCUUCAUAGCAUUUUGACAUAUGGGCAAGCUAUAAUUUUAGAUAUUGGAUUCUGCAUGACAAAAAGAUACUACCAAAUUAAAAGGACAAGUUGCAGUGAAUGAUUACUAGACCAGCUAUCCUACAUAGAAGAGAGUAAAGUGCCACUAAGGGAUCAAACAUUCAUAAAACUAAUUUAGCACAAGCGAAGAUGUUAAGGUAAAUUUACAGGAAGGGAUAAAAUAUAAAAUGCAUGCGCGCCAACAAGUGAGGUAAUACCAAUUAAUAGGGAUAAUUCGAUGCCAGCACGUAACACUGAACAGAAGAAAACGGAAAAAAGGAUAAAUACCAAUGAGCCCAUGUUUAGCGUAUAAGGCUUAGUUUGUUGUUAGCUGACCUUCUCCUACACUCUUCCUUCAACCAAAUUAGAAGCCUAGGAAAAAUAUAAGUGGUUCUAGUGUUCAACUACUUGAUUGAAUUAUUUAGAAUCAUAGAACCCUGGAAGGGGAUGGAAAUGGUGUUUGAUAACUCGACUAACUUAUCAUCAUGUUAUCUUUUUGAGCAACGUUGAAUUUUGACAAUUGACAUACUUGAUAUCUCUCAGCUCCUAAAUCACACAUUCUUCAUGGCAGAUUCCUUUUCAUAAAGCUAUGUGUAGCAUAUAGACAUAAUACAUGGUCAUAGAACAUUCAUUUAAAAAAUUAAAAAAAAAAAAAAAAAUUCAUAAAAAAUUAAAUUAAAAAUAGUUCACUGAAUAGGACAUAAUCAUAUUAAAAAAUUCUGAGUAAUACGCAUAUGUUCUUAAGAAGAUACUUUGGGAACUACAUUUUGAGAAGAAUAAACAUUGUUCUAAA
This 977-nucleotide long non-coding RNA is filed under the name Olea europaea subsp. europaea. The record is from RNAcentral. Lineage: Eukaryota; Viridiplantae; Streptophyta; Magnoliopsida; Lamiales; Oleaceae.